RNAcentral lists this small nucleolar RNA (96 nucleotides) under Hordeum vulgare. Its description in RNAcentral is "Small nucleolar RNA Z159/U59". It matches the Rfam family "Small nucleolar RNA Z159/U59". From Rfam's summary of the family: This family consists of several snoRNA Z159 or U59 sequences which are members of the C/D class of snoRNA which contain the C (UGAUGA) and D (CUGA) box motifs. This family seems to be found exclusively in rice. C/D box small nucleolar RNAs are known to act as a methylation guides for 18S ribosomal RNA in plants. The record is from RNAcentral. Lineage: Eukaryota; Viridiplantae; Streptophyta; Magnoliopsida; Poales; Poaceae.
CUUUCUGAUGAUGAUUGAUCUAAAUACAUUCGUUCUUCUGAUGUGCUCUUUCAUAGUACUGUGCGGAGGAAAUUUGGAGGCCUGAACUGAGGAAAU